Molecule: ribosomal RNA, 471 nt
Filed under: uncultured bacterium
Lineage: Bacteria
Description: bacterial SSU rRNA
Rfam family: Bacterial small subunit ribosomal RNA
Source: RNAcentral
GACGAACGCUGGCGGCGUGCUUAACACAUGCAAGUCGAACGAGACGAUUUAGAAGCUUGCUUUUAAUGAGUCGAGUGGCAAACGGGUGAGUAACGCGUAGACAACCUGCCGCAAAGAUGGGGACAACAGUCCGAAAGGACUGCUAAUACCGAAUGUUGUAUCUCCUCUGCAUGGAAGAGAUAUUAAAGAUGGCCUCUACUUGUAAGCUAUCGCUUUGCGAUGGGUCUGCGUCUGAUUAGCUAGUUGGUGGGCAACGGCCUACCGAAGGCGACGAUCAGUAGCCGGUCUGAGAGGAUGAACGGCCACAUUGGAACUGAGACACGGUCCAGACUCCUACGGGAGGCAGGCAGUGGGAAUCUUCCGCAAUGGGCGAAAAGCCUGACCGGAGCAACGCCGACGUCGAGUGAAGAAGGUCGUUCGGAUCGUAAAGCUCUGUUGUCGGGGACGAAUGUUGAGAUCUAGAAUAUAGAU